Molecule: ribosomal RNA, 620 nt
Filed under: Scatella hawaiiensis
Lineage: Eukaryota; Metazoa; Arthropoda; Insecta; Diptera; Ephydridae
Description: partial 16S ribosomal RNA
Rfam family: Bacterial large subunit ribosomal RNA
Source: RNAcentral
UUAAAGUCUAACCUGCCCACUGAAUUUUUAAAUGGCCGCAGUAUUUUGACUGUGCAAAGGUAGCAUAAUCAUUAGUCUUUUAAUUGAAGGCUUGUAUGAAUGGUUGGACGAAAUAUUAACUGUUUCAAAUUAAAUUUUUAUAGAAUUUUAUUUUUUAGUCAAAAAGCUAAAAUUUAAUUAAAAGACGAGAAGACCCUAUAAAUCUUUAUAAUUUUAUAAUAUUAAUUUUAUAGAUUAUUUUUGUUAUUAUUAAAUAAAUUAUUUUAUUGGGGUGAUAUUAAAAUUUAAAAAACUUUUAAUUUUUAUAAAUCAUUAAUUUAUGAAUAAAUGAUCCUAUAUUAUGGAUUAAUAGAUUAAGUUACUUUAGGGAUAACAGCGUAAUUUUUUUGGAGAGUUCAUAUCGAUAAAAAAGAUUGCGACCUCGAUGUUGGAUUAAGAUAUAAUUUUAGGUGCAGAAGCUUAAAUUUUGAGUCUGUUCGACUUUUAAAUUCUUACAUGAUCUGAGUUCAAACCGGCGUAAGCCAGGUUGGUUUCUAUCUUUAGUAAAUUAAAAUAUUUUAGUACGAAAGGACCAAAUAUUUAAAUAAUUAUAUUUUAUUAAAUGAAUGUAAAUAAUUUUU